GGCACGCUUCAUACAUGCAAGUCGAGGGGCAGCAUAAAGUACUUGUACUUUGAUGGCGACCGGCGAACGGGUGCGUAACGCGUAUGCAACUUACCUUUUACUAGAGAAUAGCCAAGAGAAAUUUUGAUUAAUGCUCUAUACUCUUUUUAACUCACAUGAGUUUUUAAGAAAAGCUCCGGCGGUAAAAGAUGGGCAUGCGUCCUAUUAGCUUGUAGGUGAGGUAACGGCUCACCUAAGCUCCGAUAGGUAGGGGUCCUGAGAGGGAGAUCCCCCACACUGGUACUGAGACACGGACCAGACUUCUACGGAAGGCAGCAGUAAGGAAUAUUGGACAAUGGGCGAAAGCCUGAUCCAGUGAUAUCGCUUUGGGGAUGACGGCGACAUACGUUGUAAACCCAAUGAAGUACGUUUAGAUUAUGACCGUACGUAUUUUAGAAGUCCCGG
RNAcentral lists this ribosomal RNA (444 nucleotides) under uncultured bacterium. RNAcentral describes it as "bacterial SSU rRNA". It matches the Rfam family "Bacterial small subunit ribosomal RNA", at positions 41 to 496 of the family's 1533-position model. The record is from RNAcentral.